GAAGAAUUUUGGGAUUUUAGCCACAACGGCUCCGCCGAACUUUACCCGCAGUUUCUGACUCACCCACUGUCCCUCUUACUCCGAUUUGGCCACAAAGAUACUCGAAAUCAAAUUCUGAGAGGGUAGGGAUAACUUUUACAUUUUUUGGCGGUUGGCAGUGGUUCUGGUGUGACGGUGGUUAGCGAACGGCCUCAUUCUCUGAUGUCUGGUUCUUCUUCUCCAGUGGGGGCUGACGGCUAUGGUUUAGGUUCUUGUAUGAUGAGAAGUAUUUAUAACCAUCCCGCGUUGAUAUGGACCGUCCAUCGCAAUUGAUCUCGUCUGUCCGAUCGUGCCUAAUGAGGAAAUGGAUUUGGAUCGUUCAUCAU
Molecule: long non-coding RNA, 365 nt
Filed under: Carica papaya (papaya)
Lineage: Eukaryota; Viridiplantae; Streptophyta; Magnoliopsida; Brassicales; Caricaceae
Description: long non-coding RNA (CPAP_LNC010518)
Source: RNAcentral